This 127-nucleotide small RNA is filed under the name Marmota monax (woodchuck). Lineage: Eukaryota; Metazoa; Chordata; Mammalia; Rodentia; Sciuridae. The record is from RNAcentral.
GCUGUGUGUGGUGGCUCACGCUUGUAAUCCCAGUGAUUUGGGAGGCUGAGGCAGGAGGAUCACGAAUUCAAAGCUAGCCUCAGCAGCAGAGUGAGGCCCUCAGUAACUUAGUGAGACCCUGUCUCAA